This 468-nucleotide ribosomal RNA is filed under the name uncultured bacterium. RNAcentral's name for it is "partial 16S ribosomal RNA". It matches the Rfam family "Bacterial small subunit ribosomal RNA", at positions 28 to 507 of the family's 1533-position model. The record is from RNAcentral.
GACGAACGCUGGCGGCGUGCCUAACACAUGCAAGUCGAACGGAAAGGCCCUGCUUUUGUGGGGUGCUCGAGUUGCGACCGGGUGAGUAACACGUGAGUAACCUGUCCUUGACUUUGGGAUAACUUCAGGAAACUGGGGCUAAUACCGGAUAGGAGCUCCUGCUGCAUGGUGGGGGCUGGAAAGAUUCGGCGGUUGGGGAUGGACUCGCGGCUUAUGAGCUUGUUGCAGGGGUUGUGGCUUAGCAUGGCUUUGACGGGUAGCCGGCCUGGGAGGGUGACCGGCCACAUUGGGACUGAGAUACGGCCCAGACUCCUACGGGAGGCAGCGGUGGGGAAGAGUGCACAAGGGGAGGAAGCCUGAUCCAGCAACGCCGCGUGCGGGAUGACGGCCUGCGGGUUGUGAUCCGAAGUCGCCUGUGACGAAGCGUGAGUGACGGUAAUGGGUAAAGAAGCACCGGCUAACUACGUG